Solenopsis invicta (red fire ant) is the source of this 439-nucleotide long non-coding RNA. RefSeq lists it as uncharacterized. The record is from RefSeq and is a predicted model, not a curated record. Lineage: Eukaryota; Metazoa; Arthropoda; Insecta; Hymenoptera; Formicidae. The transcript is spliced from 2 exons.
ACUGCAGACUAGGUUUUCGUCCACGUUCAGCGCGCAAAUCUUCGGCAUCAGGUCCCAUCGCGAGCCUCCUUCUGAUUUCCUCGCGAUCAUUUCGUCGCUGUAACCGCAAAAGAAAAAUAAUUUCAGCGCGCGCGCACGACUUCCGUGACCCACUUUCACGCCUGCGUCGAUCCGGAACCAUACCGAAUCGCACGGUUCGUCGACCUUCCUGUUAGAAUGACAACACAAACACGAAUCUGGAAUUAUUAAGUCUGGCAUCAUCCGACGAGCCUGACAUCCAAACCUAAUAAUGCGGCAGUUUCCUGCACGUGCAUUCGUCACUACGACUACACACGAUCGAGACACACGCGUGAGAUUGAGAAAAGUGCUGUGACUCAUCCUUGUGCAUUUUUAUUAUCUACUUCUUUAUUCGACAAAAUACAAAUUAUUUGUUCCUUGA